AGAAAAUUUAGCUUAUAGAAAAGGAGAGAAAAGAUGGGAAAUUCUGAAUUCCUGCCCUCCGGGAUGGCCUGAGUUUUCUCUGCGUGGACGAGUGUCACGUCCCUCCCUCGGGUUCAGAGCUGGCCUGGUGGGCUCCUGUGCCACUCAGCCUGGCAGCAGCCACCGUGGCGGCCUAGACUGAGGGUACCCUGCGGAGAGGAAGCACGGACCUGGCGCCACACACGUCACAUGGUUCACCGGGUUUUAGAUUAUGCAUUGAAAUAUUUGGGGUGAAGUAAAAUACAGUGUGAAGAUCAGGGUUACCUAUUUACCAUUUUUUCUUGUCUUUCUUUUUCCUGUGUGAAGAGGGUGCUACCUUCUGAAGCCCAGGCCUUGCCGAACAGACUUAGGGGUGGUUUUUGAGAUAGGGUUUCACUGUAUAGCUCAGCCUGGCCUGGAACUCUCUGUGUAGCCCAGACUGGCCUUGAACUUGUGGCAGUCCUCCUGUUUCAGCCUCCUGAGUGCUGGGAUUACAGGCAUGCACCACUGUGCACCAGCUCCCAUUUUUGCUUUUUAAUGCAGCCUGUGUUGCUCAGGCCGGCCUAAAACUCCUGGGCUCAGGUGAUACUCUUGCCUCCGCUUCACAAGUCCCCAGAACUGUGGCUCUGCGCCGCCCUGCCUGCCUCUUUUACUGUUUGUAAUGUGACAAAGAUUCAGUCACUUUUGUAGUCAUGUGGCCAGCACUGCCCUGUGCAGUGUACAGUGCUGUGUGUAGCGCGCUCCUGAGUCCUCAGGUGGCACUGGGGGUGCUGCCCACACCCCUUCUGCUGCUCCCUGGGUGCUUGCAGCCUGAGCAUCAGCCUGGAUGGGAGAUGCUCUCUGCCCAGGCUGCCUGAGACCAGGCUGCCCGCGGAGCUGCACGCUCCACGUGUGGCAGUCCUCUUGAAGGCGUGGCACAGUGGCUGCUAGUCAGGGCCUCGAUUUCACCUUGUCUGACACCCGUCUCCAGCCUGCCUUCUGUCCUGGGAGUCCUGCGCACGUGUGGGGCACAGAGAGGCGUGGCCCUGUGUGGAGGCUGCUGGGGUGGAGAGCCAACAUCUGUCCCCCUCUGUGCAGCUGCCUUUUGUGGAGCGGGGCCUGGGCGCUCCCACAGCAGCCUGUCUCUUGGCCUGGCGGUCUUCUAAGGGAUAACCGGGUGACUCCGCAUCGCCCAGGUCUUCAGCGAUGCCAUUGCUGAACCCACCUGCCCCCCACACACCAUCCUCACUGCACCUCUUUCUCUGCUGUCCGUUUUCGCUCUCCUGUCCUCCUGGUUUGCUUCUGUGGGUGUGUGUGCUGCCGUGUCCCCACGGGGCAGUCUGGUUGGCCUUGGUGUGGCCUGAGCACAGAGCCACCUAUGACACGCAGUGGGCCCAGGGGAAGUUUUGCUGGUGGCCUCCAGGGUGGGCUCGGGCCAUAGCUCUGGCCACUACUGCCAGAGCUUCCGCCCAUGGCUGCUGAGGCUCUGCAGCCUGACCAGGGUCCUGUAGAGGCCUGGGCACUGUGGAGUGGGCCUGCAAGACGGUCAUACCUGGCUCAUCUCUGUCCUGUUGCCCUUGGAAUUCAGGCUCCAUGCUGGUGCACCCUUUCAGACCGCAUGGGAAGAAUUCUGAAUUGCUCUUGCCUCUCCUCGGAGGGACGGCGUGGCUACGUGGCAGAGGGGAAGUCUCCCCCUGCACUGGGCCAGUGGGCCACGCGCCCUGACCACGGCUGAGGCCAACCACGUCAGGCUGUCCUGCUUGGCCACGGGGCUGGCGCUGCUGAGGCGCUGCGUACUCAUGUGCAUGGUGCGCUGCCAUCCUUUCAUGCCAUCUUCAGGCCCCUCCGAGGCCUCCUCAAGGAGCACCAAGGAGCGGCGCAGCCACCCCCCAGAGCUGCAGGAGCUGGCCCAGAGCAUACUGACAGAUAUAGAAAACCAGACGCAGCUCUGCCGGCCGCUAAUCUGUGAGAAGAGCAAGCCGGUCCCCCUGAAGCCUCUUCACCCCCGGCUGGG
Long non-coding RNA from Heterocephalus glaber (naked mole-rat), 2011 nucleotides. Lineage: Eukaryota; Metazoa; Chordata; Mammalia; Rodentia; Bathyergidae. The record is from Ensembl.